This 373-nucleotide ribosomal RNA is filed under the name uncultured bacterium. RNAcentral's name for it is "bacterial SSU rRNA". It matches the Rfam family "Bacterial small subunit ribosomal RNA", at positions 523 to 898 of the family's 1533-position model. The record is from RNAcentral.
AUGCGUAGGGGGCGAGCGUUACCCGGAAUUACUGGGCGUAAAGGGUGCGUAGGCGGCCGUGUGUGUCUGGCGUUAAAAUCCACGGCUCAACUGUGGGUAUGCGCUGGAAACUGCACGGCUUGGGUGCAGCAGAGGCAGACGGAACUGCUGGUGUAGGGGUGAAAUCCGUAGAUAUCAGCAGGAACGCCGGUGGAGAAGUCGGUCUGCUGGGCUGUAACCGACGCUGAGGCACGAAGGCUAGGGGAGCUAACCGGAUUAGAUACCCGGGUAGUCCUAGCCGUAAACGAUGCUCACUUGGUGUGGGGGCGAAGGUCUCCGUGCUGAAGCUAACGCGUUAAGUGAGCCGCCUGGGGAGUAUGCCCGCAAGGGUGAA